RNAcentral lists this transfer RNA (72 nucleotides) under Candidatus Desantisbacteria bacterium CG1_02_38_46. Its description in RNAcentral is "tRNA-Ala". It matches the Rfam family "tRNA". From Rfam's summary of the family: Transfer RNA (tRNA) molecules are approximately 80 nucleotides in length. Their secondary structure includes four short double-helical elements and three loops (D, anti-codon, and T loops). The record is from RNAcentral. Lineage: Bacteria; Candidatus Desantisiibacteriota.
GGGGCUGUAGCGCAGCGGCAGCGCGUUUCCUUGGCAUGGAAAAGGUCAGGGGUUCGAUUCCCCUCAGCUCCA